CGCAUCUGUGCAUGCAGCAUAUCAAUAAGCGGAGGAAAAGAAACUAACAAGGAUUCCCCUAGUAACGGCGAGUGAAGCGGGAAGAGCUCAAAUUUGAAAUCUUAAAGGGUUUCCCUUUACGAAUUGUAGUUUAAAGAAGUGUUUUCUGUUGAGGUUUUGGUAAAAGUUCUUUGGAAUAGGACAUCAUAGAGGGUGAGAAUCCCGUAUUUGACCUUUACUUUCAACUUUGUGAUACACUUUCAAAGAGUCGGAUUGUUUGGGAAUGCAGUCCAAAAUGGGUGGUAAAUUUCAUCUAAAGCUAAAUAUUGGCGAGGGACCGAUAGCGAACAAGUACCGUGAGGGAAAGAUGAAAAGAACUUUGAAAAGAGAGUUAAACAGUACGUGAAAUUGUCAAAAGGGAAGCGUUUGACACCAGUGUUGUUUUUCUGAAAAUCAAUUAAAGAACUGUUUAUGCUAAGCUGUUUAGACUUUAUCAGCUAACUGUUUAGUUUUGAGCUUUUCUUUAAUGCACUUUUCAGUUAACAAGUCAACAUCAAUUUCUUUUGCUGUAAAAAAGCUUGAGGAAGGUGGCUUGAGAUUCGUCUUAAGUGUUUAUAGCCUCUUGCCUAUGCAGUCGGAGAGAUUGAGGUCUGCAGCGUAGAUCCUUCGGGGCUAAAUGCAUUUGUGCUAAGUUAUAGCAUUUUAUAGACAACUUGUUGACUAUGAUUUGUCUAUGUAGCUUACUCGCUUAUGUUAUUUUACCUACGCUUAGGAUGUUGAGUCAUCACACAUCUCU
Molecule: ribosomal RNA, 775 nt
Filed under: uncultured Neocallimastigales
Lineage: Eukaryota; Fungi; Neocallimastigomycota; Neocallimastigomycetes; Neocallimastigales
Description: partial large subunit ribosomal RNA
Rfam family: Eukaryotic large subunit ribosomal RNA
Source: RNAcentral